Pelobates cultripes (western spadefoot toad) is the source of this 1086-nucleotide non-coding RNA. The record is from the annotation of a GenBank genome assembly. Lineage: Eukaryota; Metazoa; Chordata; Amphibia; Anura; Pelobatidae.
AGACAACAGAGACUGAUACAUAUCCAGAAAUAUCCAGAAAUUAAUGUACACAUUAGUCUGACAAAAGUCACAUGGCAGGAAGAUAGGCACACAAGAGCGCACAGUAUAGGCAAAGUAAAAUCUUUAACGCAGGGUCUUGUGGACAAUUCAAAAACCAAUUUGCAAAAUGCAUGGCAAAAAUAUACUGAAAUUCCGCAUUUAUAGUCACAGCGUGGCUAUUUUACCCUGCGUUUUGAAAUUCGGAAAUUCAUUUUCGACAAAGUUGCUUUUUAGUGAACUUAUACAUUGGGAGCUUUCAUCCCAGAAAACAUGAAAACACUUAAAAUUGCAGUGUAAGAAUCUUGCAACAAAAGCCAUAGUGCUUGACUUAAUGAAAACACAUAUGCUAAAGAUUUUAGUUCUAGUUUUUUUGGAACUUUCCCUUUGAGGAAAAUAAAGUUAGAGAUGUGUUUGAAUACAGCAAACAUUCCACCACAUGAAGCAACUAUCUGCUCACUGAUCCAUAAGGUUCAUCAUACUAAAUAUUAGGUCCUUGAUGCACAUAGUACCAAACUGCACCCGUAGUCUAAAAAUCAGAGGGAGCUCCUUUAAAUCUUUUUAGCAAGCCUGGGUAAGCCUGAAAGAUAAUUAAUUGUAUUAAAAAUCAAUAUCUACAUCAGUUUCCUUAAUAGAACAUUCGAAAUACAGAACGUACUUACUUGCUCAGCUGACUGAUGAACAUACUGAAAGUCUAAUGAACUUGGAAUCAUUCAGCACACAAUAAAAUGCAACUUUUUCUUGAAUUUCUCUUUAAAAACUCAAAAAACUGAAAGGGGCCUUUAUUAAAAAGAUUAACAUCAAUCACAGUAAUUAUUCCACUACAAAAGAAUUUGGGGUAAAAUACACAAUUCCGUGUAAAAGGGUUACUAUAUCAUGCUAUAAGGUCAAAAGGUCAAGUAAGCAUUCAUUUUCUGUUUAAGUAAUAUGUUGUACUGCACUUGUUUGGUUUUCUCAAGGUUAACCUCACUGUACAUUCCAACAGCACUUUUUGUAACGUAAGGCGAAAUGAUGCGAUACAGUCCUCCAUUUUUGAUGACGGCCGCGAAG